This is a long non-coding RNA of Epinephelus lanceolatus (giant grouper), 540 nucleotides long. RefSeq lists it as uncharacterized. NCBI's taxonomy places the organism in Eukaryota, Metazoa, Chordata, Actinopteri, Perciformes, Serranidae. The record is from RefSeq and is a predicted model, not a curated record.
GGAUGUGGAAUCCACAGGAAGACUCAAGACGACUGUAGCCAUCGCUGGUGAUAUUUUUGCAGGAGACAGGAGUGUUUCAGUAUGUUGAUGUGCAUGAAGAUGCAGCUGGUCGGCAGAUUUACAGGGACACAUGUUGCGGUCGACAUCCAGCCUGUCACAGUUAUACUUCUCUAGAGGUCAUCCCAGUCUCACUCUGAAGCUGUGGAAAUCCAGCGUUUGGUCAGUGACUUCUGGCGUCAGACACCAACAGAAAAAGCCGCCCUUUCACGUUGGUAUGAUUCGUGGCUGGUCGCUGUUAUUGUUUAACGGCACUCGGUGGCGUCAGGUGAAAACACUGUGGGACAACAGUGAAAGUUAAGGCAAUGGAAGUCGGAGGCCGGUGUUCCCAGAACGUCAACAAGCAACACACCCAGGGUACCUUGGACGCCAUAUGUGGACGUGGAAAGUCCAUGACCAAACGUCAAGAGGUGAUGAGGUCAGAGAAUGUGCUGGUCACAUUAGACGCCUCUUUUGGUUGGCCAAUGAUAAAACACUGUCUGA